RNAcentral lists this long non-coding RNA (360 nucleotides) under Elaeis guineensis (African oil palm). RNAcentral describes it as "long non-coding RNA (EGUI_LNC063825)". The record is from RNAcentral. Lineage: Eukaryota; Viridiplantae; Streptophyta; Magnoliopsida; Arecales; Arecaceae.
CACAGAAGACAAAAUUGGAUCUGAGGUCAGUUGCCCAGCACUGUCAUACUGGACCUCCUGCUGAACCUCCACCGUCACUACUGUCAUUUUGCAUCUUCUGCACUCUGCAAACUCCUAUAAAAGCACCAGACAACCUCCUCCUCCUCUGAACCAGCUGCGACACUCUAUGGAUCUACUAUUUCCAUCACCCAAGGCUUUGCAAAUCCCUGCUCUGGUCGAAUCACUGAAAGCAUCCCUGACUACUUCCCUACCUUCUUAUACCCAAAGGCUGUAGUCACUUCUUCAGCUUCCCUACGACCACUAUCCCUUGGGUGAACUCUCCUCAUCCAUCGAAUAGACCCCACACUGCCCUUCUCCCCU